AUGGUCACAAGGCAGCAGCUUUACCACUGCGCCAAGGCUCCCCUUCUGACCUAAAACUGUAAAACAAGAAAAAAAACAUUUUUACCUGUCUGUGCUGUUGUAGAUGAAUUGAUAAUCAAACUGCAGUCAUCUAGCCUUGAAAGCCAAAAAUAUAAUGGAUGGACUAUGAGAACAAUACAGAAGUCUGUUGCAUCGGAUUGUAGUUAAACAAAUUCAGAUGUGGUCAUUUGGUGGAAGGAUACCUUAGUUGGAUAUAACACUAAUCAAAUGGUUGUCGCCUGCACAUUCGUUUCUGGUGACAAAUAUAUGGUGCACUACACCUGCACAUUCAAUUGCCAUGGUGAAAAAUACAGGUGCACAAAUGGUUCAAGAAGUACAAUCGCAUCAAGAUAGACUAACAUGUUUCUAGAUUGGGAUUUGCUUCAUCCUUAAAAGCCUAGCACUUGAAUCUGUAACCUUCAAAGGUGAGCAAUCGAUGCCUGACUUACAAAAUUCCUCUUUCUUAUAAUCUAAGCAUCUGUCAAAGAGUUCAAAUGAAGAAAAGCAUAAUGAGAGCAACUAUAUGAACCAAGCUAUAAUUUCCACAUCAUAGCUUUCAACGGCAGAGCAACUUACAGAAUGGAAUUACCCAAUCAUUAUCAAUGUUAGUGAACUAUUUGUUUAACUCUCGUAGGAACUCAACUAUCAUUGUCCUUGCUGAUCUCACCUGGUAUGUGAUGUGGCGGGGUGCAACCAUUGCUUAUGUACCCCGUGAAACUGAAAAUGAAAGUUUGACAUAGUAAAAUACACCAAUACCCAAAUUUGCCUAAAUCUGCCCCACGAGUGAUAUUUUUCUGUUAAUGACAACCAUGUGAAACUAAAAACACCUAAAUAUAACCUGACAACUUAAAAUUUAAUCAGGAAAUGACAGAGUAGAUCGAGAAUCACCAAAACAACUCACCUCAGAUGAAGCACACAUCAAGGAGACCUGCUUCACCUCCAAUGAUCCACCUCUACCUCACACACAUCAUGUCUCCUCCUACAUCAAGCCAUCAUGGAAGGAAAAAUCUAAGAAUGUGCACUGAAACCUCAAGUAGUUUCACAUUGGACAGCUCGAGCGGGCUGGCUCGCCUUGGUCGCCUCGACCACGAACGUGAGCAAGAAGGUGGAAGCCUACCUUGGCUGGUGUGGGUGAGUUCUUCCACGGCACGCCCCGGAGUAAGAAGACAGCAGAGAAAAAUCGCGAAUGGCCCCUGGCCGGCGGCGCCGCCUCCACGAGGACCAGCCUGCUCCUUCACCUGUCCCCGCCUCAUCCCUCUUCCCUCUUCCAUCGAGCCUCAUGUCCCCGACUCUUCCCUCUUGGAGCCUCACCCGCGACGGGCCGACAGCUGCUUGUCCGGGUCGCCUGCCUCCAGUGCCCCGUCGCCCCACCACCGGGCCUAACUUGCGCCAGAUCCGGAACCAGGCGCCGCCGACGACCGGAUAAACAACGGAGAGAGGGGAGUCGAGGUGGGGAAGCAGCAAUGGUGGCGGAGGAGUAGGCGGCAGCGAGGCCCUGGUGACGAGCGGGGAGGAGGGAGGGGCAGUGGAUCAAGGGGAAAGUGGGAGCUAGGGUUGUGCGUUGCCUGCCUGGUGUGCGAGCGAGAUUGGGUGUGUAGCAC
RNAcentral lists this long non-coding RNA (1640 nucleotides) under Triticum aestivum (bread wheat). RNAcentral's name for it is "long non-coding RNA (TAES_LNC003407)". The record is from RNAcentral. Lineage: Eukaryota; Viridiplantae; Streptophyta; Magnoliopsida; Poales; Poaceae.